RNAcentral lists this non-coding RNA (68 nucleotides) under unclassified sequences. RNAcentral describes it as "S15-Halobacteria ribosomal protein leader". It matches the Rfam family "S15-Halobacteria ribosomal protein leader". The record is from RNAcentral.
CUGGGAAGCGCACGGCCGCAAAUCUGACUUCGUCACGCCAAUUGCGUGACUCGGGAUUGCGGAAGUGC